AUGUACUGCUGUUUUUGGCACUUUCACAGUGGCUUCAUUUUUCUAGGCCAGGAGCUUGUCUUAUUGGAUGGGCACAGAGAAUCCAGCACCCACAUUCUGUAUCUAUCUGUUGGAGAUAUAAGUUUUACCCAGUGGAUGAAGACAUUACCCAGGGAUUCAACUGCACAUAAAAAAUGCCCUUUGCAUCACAAGGUAUUAGGCUUGUCAAUGAAAACGAAACCCAGUUUAAUCAAUUUUAACUGCGUUCUCCCUUAAUUGUUCCCUGACUUUUCCACUCUGCACAUUGGAGCAUCACUGAAAUGUAAUCCACCCCAAUAAAAAUCUUUAGUGGGAAAAAGUAACAGAGUUUGUAAACUCAGUAAAUUUAGAGCAAAGGUCAUUAGCAGACACAACAAAAAAGAUGCGGUUGAGUUAAAAAUUCAAAGACCUCCAAUGACACCAAAGCAGCUAUCUUUACCCAUCAGGUCCUUUACAUGCAGCAGCUAUUAAUAACAAAACUACAAAGAGGAUUGAUAGAUAUAGCACACAAGCACUGUAAGUCAGGCUUUUUCCAUGUAUUCUUUUCUUACAAUACCAAACUUUACCGGGCUUUAAACAAUACUUGCAUUGCCUGAAGUCUGUAUUACUCACACAUAACAUAUUCAAAAUACAUCUUGUAUAUAUGUGAAGUACUCUACAUACGUGUGUUUGUAUGUUUGUAUGUAUUGGCACUGGGGGCUAAUGGGUAGGGGGUGGGGGGUAGACCAAGGGUCCAGAUGGUUGGAAAGAUAGAUGUAGAGGUAGAUAAAGACAAAGAAAGAGGGAACAAAGGAAAGGCAGAAGAACACACUGUUUAUCAUUCAGGAGACUCUCCCCAAUGGUCACUGCUCAGCUAGCACACAUACAUACACACAGGUAUGUGUUGGUCUUAAUCCUAUUGUGUAGCAGUGACCAGAGUGUGGGAGUCUCAUCACCUGUCUCCUCUCGCUCUCUCACACACACACACAGUGAAGGAGUAUAAUCCUGUCAGUAACUGUGAUGGAAUUUAGAGAGGAUUUAAUUUUUAUAAUUCUACCAGCAUACUAUGAAUCAUGGGAGCAAAAAGUAAAGUCCAGAAUAUCUGUGUAAGCACAUACACAUCUCUGUCUUUUGGUGCAAUGUAUUUUUUACAUCUCAGUCUUUUAUUCUGCUGUUCCAGUAUAUUCAUUUUAAGUCUCUUUUAAAAAACAUGUAUAUUCACUUCAUCCAUUAGUUUUCACACAAAAAUGCUAAAAUAAAAUAAAAUAUUUAUGAUUUCUUUACUCUCUUGUGGCAGUUUUACAUAAUGUAAUCAAAUUAAAGUGAACACCACCAGUGUGCAGCUGGAAGCGUCUGUAGGGAAAUGGCUGCAGAUGGGAGCCAUGAGGGUUGAAACUAUUAAAUGGUGCUGAAUGCUCAUAUAUAUACAUUAAACUGUCCUAAACAGGGGCAGCAUGUUUGAACUGUACCAGGGUGGUUUCAUUGUUUAGUAUAAGAUAUUGUUGGCUGAAUGUGCUUGAUUGACGGGAAAUUGGAGAGGAGUCUGGGCAGUCUGUCAAAUUGUUAAUAUGAUAGGUAAUACCCCAAGGACAUGCACAUACGCACAAACAAGAAAGUGACUCCCUUUCUAUCAGCCUUUCUCUAUCAGUCUCUCUAAAGACUCCUACAUGUACCUGAAUUUCUUUACGUCGCUGUCUUUCAUUUUCCUUCCCACACACGGACAGCUUUCCAGCUUUUCUUUUCACAUAUACUCUCCCUGUGAUUUAAUCUUUCACACACACCUAUAUAUGCACUCUGAGUGUUUGGCUAUGUGGCAUUUUACUGCAGGUUAAUAAUGAGAGGAGAGGUGUGUGACCCUGUCAGAAGUGUGAGAAACUGACCCAAAGACAUCAGACAGAGGCCGAGACCCCCCAACCCUGAGGGCAUUAAAGUGUGUGCGUAUAAUAGAGGGGAUGCAUGUGUGUGUAUGUGUGUGUGUCCAUCCCCGUCUUCUCAUAGAUGACAUAUGUGGGGUCAUUUACAUACUAUUACCUUUCUACUGGAUAUGAGGAAUUACAGACACACACACACUCACACACACAGAAAGGUGGAUUGGCCUGGUGUGAUGUCCCUGUCAGAUGUCAGGCUGCAGAUGGGAUGAAAUAGAGGGAGGUAGGUCACGUCUGUUUCCUUUUUUUCUCUCACACAAGCACAUACACUCACAGACACACACCUGUCUUGCCCCUAAGGUGCCCAGUUACUAAGAGAGUUGUCAGCAGGUCUGUGGGAAGCCUCAACUGUUUGACAUCUGCCAGAAAACUCCCAAAACAUGCAUGCACAUAUCCCCCACCACCUCAUUUCAGAACAACAGAGCAUCUCCCAAUGAUCAACAUUUAGAUACAGUCAUCACUUACUGGUCCCUGCUGCCACACACACACUCCUCAGGAGAAAUAAAUGUUAAAGUUAUGGGCUAGUGGAGAGAUUGAACUGCAGGCAAGUUGGUGGUGAAA
This 2486-nucleotide long non-coding RNA is filed under the name Oreochromis niloticus (Nile tilapia). RNAcentral describes it as "lncRNA (ENSONIG00000040949.1)". The record is from RNAcentral. Lineage: Eukaryota; Metazoa; Chordata; Actinopteri; Cichliformes; Cichlidae.